CUACGGGGCGCAGCAGGGAAGAAUAUUGUACAAUGGGGGAAACCCUGAUACAGCAACGCCGCGUGAAGGAAGAAGGCCUUCGGGUUGUAAACUUCUGUGACGGGGGACGAACAAAAUGACGGUACCCCGAGAGGAAGCUCCGGCAAACUACGUGCCAGCAGCCGCGGUAAUACGUAGGGGGCGAGCGUUGUCCGGAAUCACUGGGCGUAAAGGGCGCGUAGGCGGCCUGUUAAGUUGAAUGUGAAAUCCCGGGGCUCAACCCCGGACGUGCAUUCAAAACUGGCGGGCUUGAGUAUGGUAGAGGCAAGUGGAAUUCCUAGUGUAGCGGUGGAAUGCGUAGAUAUUAGGAGGAACACCAGUGGCGAAGGCGACUUGCUGGGCCAAAACUGACGCUGAGGCGCGAAAGCGUGGGGAGCAAACAGGAUUAGAUACCCUUGUAGUC
RNAcentral lists this ribosomal RNA (442 nucleotides) under uncultured bacterium. RNAcentral's name for it is "partial 16S ribosomal RNA". It matches the Rfam family "Bacterial small subunit ribosomal RNA", at positions 339 to 795 of the family's 1533-position model. The record is from RNAcentral.